CGCGCGCUCUCCCGGACACUGUGCACAUUUGUGAUUUGGUCUCGCUCUUCCCUCUUCAGGUGUCGCACAGCGGGAGAGAUAUCGCUUCCCUUUGCUUCUCCUUCGUCGUGCUACCGUCAGGUGUCGCGCAGCGGCAGAGAUAUCGCUUCCCUUUGCUUCUCCUUCGUCGUGCUACCAUCAGGUGUCGCGCAGCGUGAGAAAUAUCGCUUUCCCCUGCUCCUUCUUCUUCGUGCUGCCAUCAGGUCUCUCUCUCGACACUUCUGUGAAUGUGAAUAUGAGCGACGAUUAUUGGUUUACGAAUUCUGGGCAUUUCGAUUAUUUCAAGUCUUUUCCCUCAUUUUUGCAAUCGUGUUGUUUCUGAGUGGUCAGUUGCAAUUUUAGAGACUCUUUAUUCUCUUCAGGAACCAAUCUAGUGUAUAGGGCUGGAGUAUACUCUGUUCAAUGUCAGUUGCCUCGUAUUUCGGUGCAGGGUUUUGAUAUUGCUGUAUAUAGGAUUUCCCUCUUCUUUUGUGUACAUAUAUAGGCUGAGGAAGCAGACAUGCCCAGACAAAGAUCCA
Molecule: long non-coding RNA, 557 nt
Organism: Syzygium oleosum
Lineage: Eukaryota; Viridiplantae; Streptophyta; Magnoliopsida; Myrtales; Myrtaceae
Exons: 3
Source: RefSeq, a predicted model, not a curated record